Molecule: ribosomal RNA, 977 nt
Filed under: human gut metagenome
Description: bacterial LSU rRNA
Rfam family: Bacterial large subunit ribosomal RNA
Source: RNAcentral
CCUAAGGUAGCGAAAUUCCUUGUCGGGUAAGUUCCGACCUGCACGAAUGGCAUAAUGAUGGCCAGGCUGUCUCCACCCGAGACUCAGUGAAAUUGAAAUCGCCGUGAAGAUGCGGUGUACCCGCGGCUAGACGGAAAGACCCCGUGAACCUUUACUAUAGCUUGACACUGAACAUUGAAUUUUGAUGUGUAGGAUAGGUGGGAGACUUAGAAGUAGUCACGCCAGUGAUUAUGGAGUCGUCCUUGAAAUACCACCCUUUAACGUUUGAUGUUCUAACGAAGAUUACGAAACGUGGUCUCGGACAGUGUCUGGUGGGUAGUUUGACUGGGGCGGUCUCCUCCCAAAGAGUAACGGAGGAGCACGAAGGUUUGCUAAUGACGGUCGGACAUCGUCAGGUUAGUGCAAUGGUAUAAGCAAGCUUAACUGCGAGACAGACAAGUCGAGCAGGUACGAAAGUAGGUCAUAGUGAUCCGGUGGUUCUGAAUGGAAGGGCCAUCGCUCAACGGAUAAAAGGUACUCCGGGGAUAACAGGCUGAUACCGCCCAAGAGUUCAUAUCGACGGCGGUGUUUGGCACCUCGAUGUCGGCUCAUCACAUCCUGGGGCUGAAGUAGGUCCCAAGGGUAUGGCUGUUCGCCAUUUAAAGUGGUACGCGAGCUGGGUUUAGAACGUCGUGAGACAGUUCGGUCCCUAUCUGCCGUGGGCGUUGGAGAAUUGAUUGGGGCUGCUCCUAGUACGAGAGGACCGGAGUGGACGCACCACUGGUGUUCCGGUUGUGUCGCCAGACGCAUUGCCGGGUAGCUAAGUGCGGAAGAGAUAAGUGCUGAAAGCAUCUAAGCACGAAACUUGCCAAGAGAUGAGUUCUCCCAGAUUAUAAAUCUGUAAGGGUUGUUUAAGACUAAGACGUAGAUAGGUCUGGUGUGUAAGCGGUGCGAGCCGUUGAGCUAACAGAUACUAAUUGCCCGAGAGGCUUAACUAU